Long non-coding RNA from Equus caballus (horse), 1931 nucleotides. NCBI's taxonomy places the organism in Eukaryota, Metazoa, Chordata, Mammalia, Perissodactyla, Equidae. The record is from Ensembl.
UACCCUGGGGGACCACAGCAUGCUAAAAAGUCAAGAACAAAGUGGACAGCCCAAUCCGGCACUUUCUACACGACCAACACUGAUAGAAAACCAGGGCUGUGUCAUUCGGCUAGAGCCGAACCAGAGGUGUGUCUCUCUAUUUGGAUAGUUCUUCCUUCUGAAAUCCAAAAGUUGGGAUGUGGUAAACUUCUCAGAUCCUGCUUCUCAAUAUGGUAUUUUACAUGUGUUCUCUAAAAAUACUUUUUCACCUUCUCAGCUUAUAUCAGAGCAAUUUAGCACCAUUUGAUUAGAACGCCCAGCCCUUCUUUGUAGCCAGCCUGGACUGUCCUCCCCGUCUGGAGUCAUUUUGGCUGCAAAGUGAGGUCUCAGCGGGGUCAGCUGGGUGUCCAGACGUCAGGUAUCAGGCGUGUGGUGAGCGCCUCCAAGGCCACUUUCCUCUCAGCAAUGCCCACUAGGUGACGCCUGUGAAUGGAGUAGCUUUCCAGAGAGCAGGCUUCCUCUCUUCCUUCCUUCCCAGGCCCACAUCUUGCCUCGAAGAUGCUUAAGUGGCAGGAUCCUGAAGAAAUUAUUCUCUGCCUGUUGCUUAGAGAGAGGGCACGUGAGGAUCUCAGGCAGCCAGAAUACUCUUGCGACCAGAAUACUGACAUUUCUGCUUAGUGUGUGCGAUGGUCUAAUUAUAAAAGUGGGAAAAAGCCAAAAACUGUAUAACCUGAAGAGUUUUAGAUUUCUGGGUAGGUUCAUAACUGCUUUCCAAAUGCAAACAAAAUUGCCUGAACUAAGGUGGCUUCUGAUCGUCCUGGGGUGGUAAUCUGAAUACGUGAGCAUUCUGGAAGGAGAUUGGAGACAGGUGUGACUGGAGGCAGGUGUGAUUCUUUUGAGUAUAACAGCGGUUCCCAGACUGGAGUGUGCGUCAGAAUCAACUGCAGGUAUUAUGAAACCACAGAUUUCUGGGUCCCACUCCCAGAGUUCCUGAUUUGGAAAGUCUUGGAUGAGGUCUGAGAAUCUGCAUUUCUUACAAGUUCCCAGGUGAUGCUAAUGCGGCUGGUCUGGGGACCUCACCUAGAGAACCUCUGCAGGACAGCGUUCUGUUAACAAUAAGUUUCCAAUGCGCCACCACCCACCGGAAAAAGAGCACACAGUGACUGACAAGCUGUAUUUUACUGCCUUCACUCCGAGGAUUGAUGUUUCCAGAUUUGAACCAUGAAAAAUGGUAACCUAAUUCAGACCAGAGUGUUACAAAGCAGGGAUUGGAGGCAUGCCAGGCAGAUGCGGAAAUGUGUCUUAGAUAAUGAACAUCAAAAGUAUCUGUGUGCAUCAACGCAUUCUCCUGAGUGAGAGGUCACGCCCCUCCCUACUCUUCUCUUCCUCCCUGGGGUUAGCUGCAAGACCCCGGGCAGAUUUCUUCUCCAGCAAGGUGAGGGGUCCAGCCCAAGCAGCGAAUGCCUUUGGUUUUCACUCUUCACUGGCCAAAGGCUCCCACCAAGUUCAUGAAACUUUUUCAAAGCACUCAGGAUUCAUCAGCUCACACACAGAACUGCCGAAGAAUAGCACGGAUACGUUAUCUCCUUCCCCGUCCCUAAAGAAAGUAUCAGAAGAAAACAAAAUGUUGUUUUUUAGCUUCAAAUCAAAUGCCAGCAAUACAAACUAGGAAGUGUUACAGUUGUGUAUAGAGAAAUAGGAUUAGCAGACAGGGCUUGUCUCUCUGGCACUAAUUCUAGCAGGUUUUCAAAUGCUACUUUUCCUCACACAGGUCAGAGCCACAUGUGUGAGUAAUUUUCAAAAAGAUGAAUAACUGAUACAUAGCUAAUGGGUACCUUCUGCAAGGGUAGGUGGUUUACCUCAGAGGUUCCUAAUCCUGGCUGAUCAUUCUAUUUCCUCAGACACUAAAGCAAAAUACAGAUAAUUCAGGCCCCACCUCCUACAUCCUGCAU